AGUGAACGCUGGCGGUAGGCCUAACACAUGCAAGUCGAACGGCAGCACAGUAAGAGCUUGCUCUUACGGGUGGCGAGUGGCGGACGGGUGAGGAAUACAUCGGAAUCUACUUUUUCGUGGGGGAUAACGUAGGGAAACUUACGCUAAUACCGCAUACGACCUACGGGUGAAAGCAGGGGAUCUUCGGACCUUGCGCGAUUGAAUGAGCCGAUGUCGGAUUAGCUAGUUGGCGGGGUAAAGGCCCACCAAGGCGACGAUCCGUAGCUGGUCUGAGAGGAUGAUCAGCCACACUGGAACUGGGACACGGUCCAGACUCCUAAGGGAGGCAGCAGUGGGGAAUAUUGGACAAUGGGCGCAAGCCUGAUCCAGGCAUACCGCGUGGGUGGAGAAGGCCUUCGGGUUGUAAAGCCCUUUUGUUGGGAAAGAAAAGCAGCAGGUUAAUACCCCGCUGUUCUGACGGUACCCAAAGAAUAAGCACCGGCUAACUUCGUG
Molecule: ribosomal RNA, 492 nt
Filed under: uncultured bacterium
Lineage: Bacteria
Description: partial 16S ribosomal RNA
Rfam family: Bacterial small subunit ribosomal RNA
Source: RNAcentral